RNAcentral lists this ribosomal RNA (450 nucleotides) under uncultured bacterium. RNAcentral describes it as "partial 16S ribosomal RNA". It matches the Rfam family "Bacterial small subunit ribosomal RNA", at positions 331 to 793 of the family's 1533-position model. The record is from RNAcentral.
CCAGACUCCUACGGGAGGCAGCAGUGGGGAAUAUUGGGCAAUGGGCGCAAGCCUGACCCAGCAACGCCGCGUGAAGGAAGAAGGCUUUCGGGUUGUAAACUUCUUUUGUCAGGGACGAAGCAAGUGACGGUACCUGACGAGUAAGCCACGGCUAGCUACGUGCCAGCAGCCGCGGUAAUACGUAGGUGGCAGGCGUUAUCCGGAUUUACUGGGUGUAAAGGGCGUGUAGGCGGGACUGCAAGUCAGAUGUGAAAACCACGGGCUCAACCUGUGGCCUGCAUUUGAAACUGUAGUUCUUGAGUACUGGAGAGGCAGACGGAAUUCCUAGUGUAGCGGUGAAAUGCGUAGAUAUUAGGAGGAACACCAGUGGCGAAGGCGGUCUGCUGGACAGCAACUGACGCUGAGGCGCGAAAGCGUGGGGAGCAAACAGGAUUAGAUACCCGAGUAUAG